UACGGAGGGUGCAAACGUUGUUCGGAAUCAUUGGGUGUAAAGCGCGCGUAGGCGGCCGUGCAGGUCGGGUGUGAAAUCCCAGGGCUCAACCCUGGAAUUGCGCUCGAAACCGUUCGGCUUGAGUCCUGGAGGGAGAAGUGGAAUUCUAGGUGUAGGGGUGAAAUCCGUAGAUAUCUAGAGGAACACCAGUUGCGAAGGCG
Molecule: ribosomal RNA, 200 nt
Filed under: uncultured bacterium
Lineage: Bacteria
Description: partial 16S ribosomal RNA
Rfam family: Bacterial small subunit ribosomal RNA
Source: RNAcentral